This is a long non-coding RNA of Anas platyrhynchos (mallard), 2420 nucleotides long. RefSeq lists it as uncharacterized. The record is from RefSeq and is a predicted model, not a curated record. NCBI's taxonomy places the organism in Eukaryota, Metazoa, Chordata, Aves, Anseriformes, Anatidae.
GGCAGCCCCAGCCCCCCCAGUGCCACCCCCCCGUGUGGAAAAUUAACGCCUGGGUUUAUUUAUUUUCCUUCAGUUUGGCAAUAAGGGUCAAGGAUCUAAGCUGAAAGACAGAGGGGAGGCACCAGGAAACCCCCUGAAGGAUGGGGCUGCUGCUGCUUCUCUGCCUGGAUGUUUCCCUGAUGUACUCUGAGUGCAUACACCGAAUGAAUGAAUUUCACCUGUCACAGUUCCUGAUCAGCCUAAAACCAGGCCAGUGAAAAUUGUAGAAGAUGACGAGAGCGAGAUGCUUGUUUCUGGCUGAUACUGCACCCUCUUCUACAAACUACUCUUGGGGCAAUGUUGUUAAAAUAGAAGUUAAAGUUGUUAAAGAACAACUCACCUUUAUAAUGCAGGAUUGGUUUAGUUUCCGUGUCCUGGGUGAGUGCAAACUGACAACAAAUUUGUCUUAAUGCAGCCACUUGGUCUGCAUCAGCAUUGAGACCCCAGUUCCCAAGCCACUAGAGAGCAGCAAGGGAGACUUGAAGGGCAAUGUUUCUAGACGUGGAACUUGCUCCGAAGGUGUAAGGUCCCAGUGAGCUCCAAUCAACUGUGGCUUGCCCCCAAAUGGGUGCCACUCCGUGCUCCUAGGCAAGACUGCCGCUGCAGCUCCCAGAAGUGUUACCUGCCAAAGUCACCUGGUGCCAGGAGUGGCUGCUUUGCAUGAAAGCAAGACACUGCCAGGAGGCACCGCACUGUCCUUGCAAUAACAACUUACCCUAAGGAUCAGCUGAGCCCCGGGUCUUCCCAUGCUCCUUCUCGAGUCACUGAGUCAGCCCAGGAGAUGCUUCCCCACUACUGGAGCAAUCCGCUGUUUAUUGACAUUUCCAUACCCAAGUUUAUGCCUAUCCAUGAGGUAAAACAUACCGAUGAUAACUGAUGAUGAUACAGCUUUUCUGCAUACCUGGAUUUGUGUUGCUUUUCUAUUUUCUGAUACUGGAACUAAAGGACAAUCCCAUCUUAUCAUCUGAAUGCAUAUGUCCUCAUGUAAUACGAGGCAAGCUUACCAGAAUUGUUAUAGAGGAGCCCAUAUCGGAGCAUUCCAGCUGCCUGAUUUAAUUCUGGGUUGCCUCCAUGCCUCCCUGCCCUUUCCACUUUCGUGCAACUUAAUGAAGAACUGUCUGCAGUGCUUAAGGGGUUCAGUGGGUCCUCAUGACCAGCUUCUCCCUUUACAGCAUCUGUUCUUCUUAUCCUUGCUACAUGAAUGAGGGCCUUCUGGGCCUGGCCAAAGCCAUGUUUAUCUACAUAUACCUAGCUUUCACCUGGUCACCUGCCCACUGGAAGAUAGAUCUGUGUUUUACGAUGCCAACAGCCAGAACUGGGAUCUCAAACAGCCCUAACGUGGCUGGAAUUUAUCUAAACCUAGUGCUUAACCCAUACUUGUCCGCUAUCUUUGCUGAGAUCGAUAACACCAAAGUAUUCCUGACAACUUGUGUACCUUACACCUACAUCAGCUGAACAAUAGAUAUUAGGUAGUAACAGGCUUAAUCCAAUUCUCUGUACAUUAGCAGAAGCCUUCGUUCAAAGCACUAUGCUAGCCACAGACACCCACGAGUCUAUUUCCUGAAUUCUAGCUGGUUUCGUUUUGUUUUGAAUUCCUGUCUUUGGGCUUUACAGUAUUUAUGCAAGGUCUGAGAAAGAAAAUCUUCUGUGGGAGCCCACAGGAAUCUACAGAAGGCUUCUGUUCCAUGUGAAUGAGGAGGUCUGACAGGAGCUCUGGGGUCCUGCCUACAUAUGUUUAAAAUGCUUACAUAUUCUCCAGUUCUGCACCUUUUCAUUCUAGCAAUUAAGCUCAACAGCAUAUCCAUCCAUCCAUUCAGUUUUCAUCAGCUGAGCCCACAGAGAUCUCUUCCUCCUUGGAAAGGAAGACAGACAGCACAGGAAACCGUCGUGAUUGAACACAGAAAGGUUUUUAUGAAGCCAAGGUGGGCAAUGGCCAUGAUGACCCCAAGAUAGGACAUCAUGCAAAACUACAAAGUUGUCUGAAAAUCAAUGAAAUAAAUCCACACACCUGGCGAAUCAUCAGCCACUUGUCCAUACUCAAGAGAAAUGGAGAUUUUUGGCACAAGAAGUCAGUACAGACUUCAUUUCGUGUCAGACAAGGCCAACAGUUUGAAGCACAGCAAGACUACGAACACACUCCAUGUUCCCACACCACAUAGCACAAGCCUGUAGCUUCAGCUCUCAGGAGGAGACAGGCACAGCGCUUGGGGAGUUCAAGCAGAAAGCGACAACUGUCUCAAAAGACAUCAGUGAGCAGAGAGCUCAGAAAGCAAGAACCUGCCCUAAGACUAGGGCACAUUUGCUAUGCAAUCCAUCUUUCAAAAUGUACCAGAAGAUUUCAAUAAUCUCUGUAAAAGCAUUAAAUUUUUGUUUUAACAAAC